GCAUGCCCUGUUACUCAAUGGUUCAUGUUAUCUUCUGGCUGUGUUGACGAUUACCCCCCGGUCUCCUCUCUCAAGUCCUGCCUGGCAUCUCGGAGGCCCACCCCUGCCCCCAUGCCCUCGACGCCUCCAGCAUCACCAUCGUCCUCCGCCUCGCAAACCGACGUUGGGUGUGCCGCCGUGGCGGCGGGAGGGAGCUGCUCACCUGGACGCUUGCCAAGGCCGCUGCCCCCGAUUCGCUUGCCCCGUGUCACCGAUCGAACUGCUCACUUGGGAGCUCACCAAGGCCGUCGACCGUGGGCAUCGUUGGUGGACUAGCCCCGUUCGCCUGAAUUUGUCCUCUUUUGUUUUAUGUUCUGCAUUCAAAUAGUGUUCAGAUCCAAUUUUUCAUGUAUUUCUUCAGUGUUUUUUGUUAACAUAGGUGGAUGAUUUCGAGCAGGAGAAGCGCACCGCAUGCCUCACAGUGGAUGGGCAGUUUGAGGAUUUUAAUCAGGUGCACUUGGGGGAAUCGGAUUUAGAGUUUGGGAAUGAUGAGGAGGAGAUUAACGACAAUGAGGUCAUCAAGAUGAAGCCCCCCACCAUCAGGGGUGUGGCCACCACCGCAUCGUCCCAACGGUGCUAGCCUAUAUGCGAACAUGGCGCUGGUGAUCGAGGACAUGCAGUUGCUGUCAAGGUCGGCAUUUAUGAUCCUCCCCACCGCGCUUUGCAACACCAACUACUACACCUGGAGCUUCAAGAGAUUGGCUAGGUAUAUGAUGCUUUCCAUUCCCAGUGUGACGAGAAAUUGAAGAACUGGAAGAAUACCUUUUUUUGGGCUUGAUGAAUGGACUUGUAAAUCUACUUCUGCUGGGCAGUUUGCUUCUCUAUAUAAUGCGAAAACUACACAUUAUUAUUACAAUGUGGCUGAUUUUAAGUAUGGCACAUAUGAUGUCUGUACAGUCCAACAUUACAUGUGGACACACCAAGUGUACUAGGUAUAUAAUGCAACCUAUGAAUAUAUAGGCA
Molecule: long non-coding RNA, 1002 nt
Organism: Lolium rigidum
Lineage: Eukaryota; Viridiplantae; Streptophyta; Magnoliopsida; Poales; Poaceae
Exons: 3
Source: RefSeq, a predicted model, not a curated record